Molecule: long non-coding RNA, 299 nt
Organism: Cyprinus carpio (common carp)
Lineage: Eukaryota; Metazoa; Chordata; Actinopteri; Cypriniformes; Cyprinidae
Source: Ensembl
AUGAAUUAUGGUGACAUUGCUGUAACAGGACAUCCAGUGCAGGCUGGUUAUGACACAGUAAGCUCCACACACUACUUUGUGAUUCCUGGAUCAAACAAUGGGAGCUCCAUCUCAAACCUCAGGAACUCCAGUAAUGUUAAUGUUCCUGGUCGAUGGGCCUUCAGGGUGGACGGUGGAUCAAAGUCAAACAAGGAGUACAUCACUGGACUUCAAGCAAAACUUUCCUCAUUUUCUGACCUAACAGAUACUGGAAACAUUCAGAUUGUUUUGCAGCAAGUAAGACACAAACAUGACUAUUC